RNAcentral lists this ribosomal RNA (665 nucleotides) under uncultured Planococcus sp. Its description in RNAcentral is "bacterial SSU rRNA". It matches the Rfam family "Bacterial small subunit ribosomal RNA", at positions 94 to 746 of the family's 1533-position model. Lineage: Bacteria; Bacillati; Bacillota; Bacilli; Caryophanales; Caryophanaceae. The record is from RNAcentral.
AGCGGCGGACGGGUGAGUAACACGUGGGCAACCUGCCCUGCAGAUCGGGAUAACUCCGGGAAACCGGUGCUAAUACCGAAUAGUUUGCGGCCUCUCAUGAGGCCACACGGAAAGACGGUUUCGGCUGUCACUGCAGGAUGGGCCCGCGGCGCAUUAGCUAGUUGGUGAGGUAACGGCUCACCAAGGCCACGAUGCGUAGCCGACCUGAGAGGGUGAUCGGCCACACUGGGACUGAGACACGGCCCAGACUCCUACGGGAGGCAGCAGUAGGGAAUCUUCCGCAAUGGACGAAAGUCUGACGGAGCAACGCCGCGUGAGUGAAGAAGGUUUUCGGAUCGUAAAACUCUGUUGUGAGGGAAGAACAAGUACCAAGUAACUACUGGUACCUUGACGGUACCUCACCAGAAAGCCACGGCUAACUACGUGCCAGCAGCCGCGGUAAUACGUAGGUGGCAAGCGUUGUCCGGAAUUAUUGGGCGUAAAGCGCGCGCAGGCGGUCCUUUAAGUCUGAUGUGAAAGCCCACGGCUCAACCGUGGAGGGUCAUUGGAAACUGGGGGACUUGAGUGCAGAAGAGGAAAGUGGAAUUCCACGUGUAGCGGUGAAAUGCGUAGAGAUGUGGAGGAACACCAGUGGCGAAGGCGACUUUCUGGUCUGUAACUGACGC